Molecule: ribosomal RNA, 512 nt
Filed under: Salmonella enterica
Lineage: Bacteria; Pseudomonadati; Pseudomonadota; Gammaproteobacteria; Enterobacterales; Enterobacteriaceae
Description: partial 23S ribosomal RNA
Rfam family: Bacterial large subunit ribosomal RNA
Source: RNAcentral
AAUAGGGGAGCCGGAGGGAAACCGAGUCUUAAUUGGGCGUUAAGUUGCAGGGUAUAGACCCGAAACCCGGUGAUCUAGCCAUGGGCAGGUUGAAGGUUGGGUAACACUAACUGGAGGACCGAACCGACUAAUGUUGAAAAAUUAGCGGAUGACCUGUGGCUGGGGGUGAAAGGCCAAUCAAACCGGGAGAUAGCUGGUUCUCCCCGAAAGCUAUUUAGGUAGCGCCUCGUGAAUUCAUCUCCGGGGGUAGAGCACUGUUUCGGCUAGGGGGCCAUCCCGGCUUACCAACCCGAUGCAAACUGCGAAUACCGGAGAAUGUUAUCACGGGAGACACACGGCGGGUGCUAACGUCCGUCGUGAAGAGGGAAACAACCCAGACCGCCAGCUAAGGUCCCAAAGUCAUGGUUAAGUGGGAAACGAUGUGGGAAGGCCCAGACAGCCAGGAUGUUGGCUUAGAAGCAGCCAUCAUUUAAAGAAAGCGUAAUAGCUCACUGGUCGAGUCGGCCUGCGCG